Molecule: ribosomal RNA, 263 nt
Filed under: uncultured bacterium
Lineage: Bacteria
Description: partial 16S ribosomal RNA
Rfam family: Bacterial small subunit ribosomal RNA
Source: RNAcentral
UACGAAGGGGGCUAGCGUUGCUCGGAAUCACUGGGCGUAAAGGGUGCGUAGGCGGGUCUUUAAGUCAGGGGUGAAUCCUGGAGCUCGAACUCCAGAACUGCCUUUGAUACUGAGGAUCUUGAGUUCGGGAGAGGUGGAGUGGAACUGCGAAGUGUAGAGGUGAAAUUCGUAGAUAUUCGUCAAGAACACCAGUGGCGAAGGCGGCUCACUGGCCCGAUACUGACGCUGAGGCAGAAAGCGUGGGGAGCAAACGGGAGUAAGAA